Molecule: RNA transcript, 422 nt
Organism: Ochlerotatus camptorhynchus
Lineage: Eukaryota; Metazoa; Arthropoda; Insecta; Diptera; Culicidae
Gene name: protein stunted-like
Exons: 5
Source: RefSeq, a predicted model, not a curated record
CGAAACGUCAUUCAUUUGGUAGGACGGCUUGCGACAGACAUCCUGAAUUUUCCUCACGUACAGCUCCGUUCAUAUAAAAUCGCUAGAAAAUGUCUGCCUGGAGAGCCGCUGGUUUGAACUACAUAAACUACUCGAACAUAUGUGCCCGUCUGGUACGCAAAGCUCUGAAGCAGGAGCAUCAAGCUACCGCUAUCCGACGAGACGAGUCCCACAUUAAGUUCACCAAAUGGAUCAACGGAAAACCAGAAACUGAAAAGUAAACAGCUCUGUAUAGCAUUCAGCUGUACAUUCUUCUUUGGGAUAUAAACAUAGGGGAUUAGGUCAUCGUUGAAAGCACGAAGUAAAUCCGGAUGUUAAGAAACUGUCUUUAGAUUUGUUCGAUAAUAAAAAAAGUGAAGAUUCUCCGAUGAAGGAAAGGUAAA